Molecule: small RNA, 96 nt
Filed under: Duffyella gerundensis
Lineage: Bacteria; Pseudomonadati; Pseudomonadota; Gammaproteobacteria; Enterobacterales; Erwiniaceae
Source: RNAcentral
AGGCGAAGACGCCUGCGUAAUGCCAACUUUUAGCGCACGGCUCACCAAGAGCCAUUUCCCUGGACCGGAUACAGGAAUCGUAUUCGGUCUUUUUUU